Molecule: transfer RNA, 73 nt
Filed under: Entransia fimbriata
Lineage: Eukaryota; Viridiplantae; Streptophyta; Klebsormidiophyceae; Entransiales; Entransiaceae
Description: tRNA-Glu
Rfam family: tRNA
About the family: Transfer RNA (tRNA) molecules are approximately 80 nucleotides in length. Their secondary structure includes four short double-helical elements and three loops (D, anti-codon, and T loops).
Source: RNAcentral
GUCCCUUUCGUCUAGAGGUUUAGGACAUCGUUUUUUCAUGGCGACGACACGGGUUCAAAUCCCGUAAGGGAUA